Molecule: unclassified non-coding RNA, 323 nt
Filed under: uncultured bacterium
Lineage: Bacteria
Description: contains 16S-23S intergenic spacer region
Source: RNAcentral
CGGUGAAUGGACGCUUCACCUCCGAGCAGCGCGCCAUCUACGAGAUCGUGCUGCACGCGAAUCUCGCUGCCAUAGACAAGGUACGACCGGGGAACAGCUGGAACGAGCCGCACGCCGCCGCCGUGCGCGUCAUCACUCAGGGCCUGGUGCGGCUCGGUCUGCUACGAGGCCGGGUGGCCGCGCUCGAGCGCUCCGGCGCCUAUCGGCGCUUCUUCAUGCACCGCACCGGGCACUGGCUGGGGAUGGAUGUGCACGACGUGGGCGACUACAAAGUCGGCGACGAGUGGCGCGUACUGGAGCCGGGCAUGGUGUUGACGAUCGAG